This 427-nucleotide ribosomal RNA is filed under the name uncultured bacterium. Its description in RNAcentral is "partial 16S ribosomal RNA". It matches the Rfam family "Bacterial small subunit ribosomal RNA", at positions 354 to 796 of the family's 1533-position model. The record is from RNAcentral.
GUGGGGAAUUUUGGACAAUGGGCGCAAGCCUGAUCCAGCGACGCCGCGUGGAGGACGAAGGCCUUCGGGUUGUAAACUCCUUUUGGAGGGGAAGAAUAAAUUGACGGUACCCUCAGAAAAAGCCACGGCUAACUACGUGCCAGCAGCCGCGGUAAUACGUAGGUGGCGAGCGUUACUCGGAAUUACUAGGCGUAAAGCGUAUGUAGGUGGUUAGAUAAGUCUAUGGUGAAAUUUCCUGGCUUAACUGGGAAGGGACAUAGAUACUAUCUGGCUUGAGUGUGGGAGGGGGAGACGGAAUUCCUGGUGUAGCGGUGAAAUGCGUAGAUAUCAGGAGGAACACCGAUGGCGAAAGCAGUCUCCUGGCCCAAUACUGACACUGAGGUACGAAAGCGUGGGGAGCAAACAGGAUUAGAAACCCCUGUAGUCC